GUGCCAGCCGCCGCGGUAAUACGGAGGGUGCAAGCGUUGUCCGGAAUCACUGGGUGUAAAGGGUGUGCAGGCGGGGCAACAAGUCGGAGGUGAAAGCCCAUGGCUCAACCAUGGAAGUGCCUUCGAAACUGUUGCUCUUGAGUCCCGGAGAGGUUGUCGGAAUUCGUGGUGUAGCGGUGAAAUGCGUAGAUAUCACGAGGAACACCAGAGGCGAAAGCGGACAACUGGACGGGUACUGACGCUCAGGCACGAAAGCGUGGGGAGCAAACAGGAUUAGAUACCCUGGUAGUCC
RNAcentral lists this ribosomal RNA (292 nucleotides) under uncultured bacterium. RNAcentral describes it as "partial 16S ribosomal RNA". It matches the Rfam family "Bacterial small subunit ribosomal RNA", at positions 505 to 796 of the family's 1533-position model. The record is from RNAcentral.